AACCAGGUCUGCCUCUGUCAG
RNAcentral lists this unclassified non-coding RNA (21 nucleotides) under Mus musculus (house mouse). RNAcentral describes it as "oocyte_clustered_small_RNA13212". Lineage: Eukaryota; Metazoa; Chordata; Mammalia; Rodentia; Muridae. The record is from RNAcentral.